UACGUAGGGUGCGAGCGUUGUCCGGAAUUAUUGGGCGUAAAGGGCUCGUAGGCGGUUUGUCGCGUCGGGAGUGAAAACCUUGGGCUUAACUCAGGGCUUGCUUUCGAUACGGGCAGACUAGAGGUAUGCAGGGGAGAACGGAAUUCCUGGUGUAGCGGUGGAAUGCGCAGAUAUCAGGAGGAACACCGGUGGCGAAGGCGGUUCUCUGGGCAUUACCUGACGCUGAGGAGCGAAAGCAUGGGGAGCGAACAGG
Molecule: ribosomal RNA, 253 nt
Filed under: uncultured bacterium
Lineage: Bacteria
Description: partial 16S ribosomal RNA
Rfam family: Bacterial small subunit ribosomal RNA
Source: RNAcentral